AAACCAGCACCUCAAGUGGUCAGGAGGAUUAUUGGGCCUAAAGCAUCCGUAGCCUGUUCUGUAAGUUUUCGGUUAAAUCCACUAGCUCAACUAGUGGGCUGCCGAAAAUACUGUAGAACUAGGGAGUGGGAGAGGUAGACGGUAUUCGGUAGGAAGGGGUAAAAUCCUUUGAUCUAUUGAGGACCACCUGUGGCGAAGGCGGUCUACCAGAACACGUUCGACGGUGAGGGAUGAAAGCUGGGGGAGCAAACCGGAUUAGAAACCCGAGUAGUCC
RNAcentral lists this ribosomal RNA (274 nucleotides) under uncultured bacterium. RNAcentral's name for it is "partial 16S ribosomal RNA". It matches the Rfam family "Archaeal small subunit ribosomal RNA", at positions 473 to 747 of the family's 1478-position model. The record is from RNAcentral.